This 200-nucleotide long non-coding RNA is filed under the name Brassica napus (rape). RNAcentral describes it as "long non-coding RNA (BNAP_LNC002890)". The record is from RNAcentral. Lineage: Eukaryota; Viridiplantae; Streptophyta; Magnoliopsida; Brassicales; Brassicaceae.
GAGUCGAUGCACCUCUGCGGUCACUUCUACUCGACCGAGUAAAUGCGCUUCUAACGGCCACUUUCACUCGGGAAAAAAUGAACUACGAAUGGCUUGAUCCUCAACCGAGGUACGUAAGCAGCCUUAACCGGUCCAGCUGUAACAAAACCAAAGUUAAAAUCUUGUUCUUUGUUUCGACUUCGAUCGAGUAAAUACCGAUU